AUACGUAGGUGGCAAGCGUUAUCCGGAAUUAUUGGGCGUAAAGAGGGAGCAGGCGGCAGCAAGGGUCUGUGGUGAAAGCCUGAAGCUUAACUUCAGUAAGCCAUAGAAACCAGGCAGCUAGAGUGCAGGAGAGGAUCGUGGAAUUCCAUGUGUAGCGGUGAAAUGCGUAGAUAUAUGGAGGAACACCAGGGGCGAAGGCGACGAUCGGGCCUGCAACUGACUCUCAGUCCAGAAAGCGUGGGGAGCAAAUAAGAUUAGAUACCCGAGUAGUCCACGCCGUAAACGAUGAGUUCUAUGUGUUGGAUGUCAAAGUUCAGUGCUGCAGUUAACGCAAUAAGUACUCCGCCUGAGUAGUACGUUCGCAAGAAUGAAACUUAAAGGAAUUGACGGGG
RNAcentral lists this ribosomal RNA (392 nucleotides) under uncultured bacterium. RNAcentral describes it as "partial 16S ribosomal RNA". It matches the Rfam family "Bacterial small subunit ribosomal RNA", at positions 523 to 918 of the family's 1533-position model. The record is from RNAcentral.